This 1852-nucleotide long non-coding RNA is filed under the name Mytilus galloprovincialis (Mediterranean mussel). Lineage: Eukaryota; Metazoa; Mollusca; Bivalvia; Mytilida; Mytilidae. The record is from RNAcentral.
UUUUUUUUUUAUAUUUAAUAAGCUUUAAAACUUGAUGACCUGUGAAACAAAAUGAUUUUAUCACAUUUUAAUUUAUAAGAUUAUUUUACUUUAUAUUUUGCAUAAUAUAAACAGUGAUCAAAGUUUACUCAUAUAUUUAGUUACAAUGAAUCUCACUUUAAAAGCUUUACUUGUGUGAUCAAAUGUUGUAUAGUUUUUGUGAAGUUUGCUCAAAAUAAGAUCAGUAUCUUUGCAUAUCAAACAUUUUAUAUUAAUCAGAAGAUAUACAUUUAAUAAACCUAUUUUAGCCUUUAGUCAACAUGAUAUGCACAUCCAAAGGUGUCAAAAAUAUUGCCUGUGCUUAGUUGGAAGACUGAGUACUAUGUAAUUUAUAGCUAAACCUUAGUCAUUAAAAAUCUGAAUUAAGUUUAAUUUACUGUAUUUCUAGCUCACCUGGCCCAAAGGGCCAAGUGAGCUUUUCCCAUCACUUUGAGUCCGUCGUCCGUCGUUGUUGUUAACUUUUACAAAAAUCUUCUCCUCUGAAACUACUGGGCCAAAUUAAACCAAACUUGGCCACAAUCAUCAUUGGGGUUUCUAGUUUAAAAAAUGUGUCGGGUGACCCAGCCAACCAACCGAGAUGGCUGCCAUGGCUAAAAAUAGAACAUAGGGGUAAAAUGCAGUUAUUGGCUUAUAACUCAAAAACCAAAGCAUUUAGAGCAAAUCUGACAUGUUGUAAAACUGUUUAUCAGGUCAAGAUCUAUCUGCCCUGAAAUUUUCAGAUGAAUCAGAUAUUCCGUUGUUGGGUUGCUGCCCCUGAAUUGGUAAUUUUAAGGAAAUUUUGCUGUUAUUGGUUAUUAUCUUGAAUAUUAUUAUAGAUAGAGAUAAACUGUAAACAGCAAUAAUGUUCAGCAAAGUAAGAUUAACAAUAAAGUCAACAUGACCAAAAUGGUCAGUUGACCCCUUUAGGAGUUAUUGCCCUUUAUUGUCAAUUUUUAACCAUUUUUUGUAAAUCUUUGUUAUCAUUUACAAAAAUCUUCUCUGAAACUACUGGGCCAAAUUAAUCCAAACUUGGCCACAAUCAUCUUUGGGGUAUCUAGUUAAAAAAAUGUGUCCGGUGACCUGGCCAUUAAAUCAAGAUGGCUGCCACAGCUAAAAAUAAAACAUAGGGGUAAAAUGCAGUUUUUGGCUUAUAACUCAAAAACCAAAGCAUUUAGAGCAAAUCUAACAUGGGGUUAAAUUGUUUAUUAGGUCAACAUCUAUCUGCCCCGAAAUUUUCAGAUGAAUCACACAACCUGUUGUUGGGUUGCUGUCCCUUAAUCGGUAAUUUUAAGGAAAUUUUUCUUAUUUUGGUUAUUAUCUUGAAUAUUAUUAUAGAUAGAGAUAAACUGUAAACAGCAAUAAUGUUCAGCAAAGUAAGAUUUACAAAUAAGUCAAAUGAUCGAAAUGGUCAGUUGACCCCCUAAGGAGUAAUGGUCCAUUAUAGUCAAUUUUUAACAAAUUUCAUAAAAUUUGUAAAUUUUUAUUAACAUUUUCCACUGAAACUACUGAGCCAAGUUCAUUAUAGAUAGAGAUAAUUGUAAGCAGCAAGACUGUUUAGUAAAGUAAGAUGUACAAACACAUCACCAUCACCAAAACACAAUUUUGUCAUGAAUCCAUCUGCUUCCUUUGUUUAAUAUUCACAUAGACCAAGGUGAGCGACACAGGCUCUUUAGAGCCUCUAGUUUCUAAGUAAUUAUUAAUGAGAAAGUUAAAAUAGAAUGAAUUUAAGAUCUGUAAAUUCUGAUUGAUAAUCAAUCUUUAGACAGAUUCACAACAUUCCUAUCUGGGUAAAUAUUUCUAACAGAAAAAUAAUUUUGAGAAGGCACUGUCUAUU